CCUAUUAAGCAGAGACCUUCCCUUUCUGACAGUUUGAAGCCAUCUAGCUUGUUGUGUUUGUUCUUCAGUCUGUGCCAGGUGCCCAAGCAGCUCUGUGGGAAGAUCUGAAUGAGUGACUGCAAUGGAGAUGAGCAGUGACCUGCUCACCCUGCUCAGUGCUUUGAGCCAGAGCCAAUCGCCAUCUGUGUUACUGACCUGGGUGCUGGGACGCAGCAGUGCACCCCGGUGAGCUGAGCUCACAGGUCACACUGGGACCAGCUGGGAAGCAGCUCUGCAGACGGGGCUGGGCUUCCUGGUGGUUACUGCGUGAAGAGGAGCCAGAAAUGUGCUAGUGGCAGCGUGCUGUGAUUUCAUGCAUGGACAAAACCAGAUGCAACAGGAAGAACAACUGAGGAAAAGGACGGUCCCGGUGUCUGUGAGCACCAGUGCUCCCUGGACGUGCACUCACCCGACCUCGAGCCCUGGGGUUGUGCUGGGGAGCCCGGGCUGCACGGUGCAGCUGUGCUGACAUUUCCCAUCAGGUUGUUCCCUCUGAGUUAACAACGUUUUUCUUUCAUGCAGCUGUUUACCAUUAAAUAAAAUUGAUGGUUCCCC
RNAcentral lists this long non-coding RNA (594 nucleotides) under Numida meleagris (helmeted guineafowl). Its description in RNAcentral is "lncRNA (ENSNMEG00000000261.1)". The record is from RNAcentral. Lineage: Eukaryota; Metazoa; Chordata; Aves; Galliformes; Numididae.